CUCGCAGAGGCUCUUGACCUGGGACUCAGACAGCUGCUUGCACUCGUUCAGCUGCUCGAUCCACUGGUCCAGCUCCUUGGUGAA
Non-coding RNA from Ailuropoda melanoleuca (giant panda), 84 nucleotides. The record is from Rfam. Lineage: Eukaryota; Metazoa; Chordata; Mammalia; Carnivora; Ursidae.